RNAcentral lists this non-coding RNA (30 nucleotides) under Homo sapiens (human). The record is from RNAcentral. Lineage: Eukaryota; Metazoa; Chordata; Mammalia; Primates; Hominidae.
UCUUGGAAAAUGCAACAUUUGGUCAUGAAA